This 253-nucleotide ribosomal RNA is filed under the name uncultured bacterium. RNAcentral describes it as "partial 16S ribosomal RNA". It matches the Rfam family "Bacterial small subunit ribosomal RNA", at positions 524 to 776 of the family's 1533-position model. The record is from RNAcentral.
UACAGAGGUCCCAAGCGUUGUUCGGAUUCACUGGGCGUAAAGGGUGCGUAGGUGGUGAGGUAAGUUUGAUGUGAAAUUUCCGGGCUCAACUCGGAAAUGGCAUUGAAUACUAUCUCGCUUGAGGUUUGGAAGGGGGAUUGGAAUUCCCGGUGUAGCAGUGAAAUGCGUAGAUAUCGAGAGGAACACCAGUGGCGAAGGCGAAUCCCUGGACAACACCUGACACUGAGGCACGAAAGCUAGGGGAGCGAACAGG